GGCUGUCUCUUCUGAGCCUCUAUUGUUUCAUCUGUACAAUGGGGACAGCUAUGCCUGCAGUGGGACCAGAGGCCUUCAGGGAACAGAGGCUACGCUGAGACUCAACACCUCCCCACAGGCUAAGGGACUCCAUGUCUGAGUGUCCCUGUCCAUCUGUCUGCUGUGUGUCAGCCUUGGUCCUCCUGGGGUCAGAAGGGUGGAGGUGGGCUGCAAUUGUAUACUGGGGGUGAAGCUGCCUGGGAGCUGAAGCUGCCUCCCCCGCAGUGUGGGCUGCCCUCCAGGGUGCCAGGACCCAGCUCCGAGAUGUCCGGGCCAAGAAGGACCAGCUGGAGGCGCACAUCCAGGCGGCGCAGGCCAUGCUUGCCAUGGACACAGACGAGACAAGCAAGAAGAUCGCACAUGCCAAGGCUGUGGCUGCUGAAGCCCAGGACACCGCCACCCGUGUGCAGUCCCAGCUGCAGGCCAUGCAGGAGAAUGUGGAGCGGUG
This 487-nucleotide long non-coding RNA is filed under the name Homo sapiens (human). RNAcentral's name for it is "non-protein coding lnc-CABLES2-5:1". The record is from RNAcentral. Lineage: Eukaryota; Metazoa; Chordata; Mammalia; Primates; Hominidae.